Musca domestica (house fly) is the source of this 2699-nucleotide long non-coding RNA. RefSeq lists it as uncharacterized. The record is from RefSeq and is a predicted model, not a curated record. The transcript is spliced from 3 exons. NCBI's taxonomy places the organism in Eukaryota, Metazoa, Arthropoda, Insecta, Diptera, Muscidae.
GCAUAUUUACGUCAGGGGGUUCUCAACCCUUCCACCAUCAGCCCUAGGGGUCUAACAAACAAAAAGGAAAUUACAUAAUGAAUAAAAACACAAAAUAAAACGACAAACACUACAAACAACCAUGACAAGGAAACUUGUUGUUAUUUUGCUCCCACACUUUACCCGCCCAUCCUUGACCCUUUGAUCCUAAUAAAUAUGAAACAUUUAGAGGGCCCCAAUCUCCACUAACACUUACCACUCAUUUACAUACAGGGUUGCCCAUAUUCGACGGACCCAUGUUUUUUUUGGGCCCAUUCCAAUCGACGAGGCUUGUCAGCAGGCAACAUUCUUUGCGUCAAUUGUACGGGAACAAAUGCAAAUCAAUGCGAAUAAUCCGUUGUAAAGUGGACCGAGCCAUGCCCAACUGCUGAGAACGGCGUUUUUGGGAUGUUCUUGGGUACAUCUCAACACUGGCUCGUACGGCAGCGAUAUUCUAGGCCGAUCUCCUUGGUCGACUUUUAUAUGGCCUCUUCGGAUUAGAAAGAGCCUUACCAGUCGAAAAUUUUUCGUAUAAACGCUUAAUGGUGUUCUUUGAAGGCGCACUUCUCACAUUUUUUAAUGUUUUAAAAGCACGUUGAGUUUUCACAAUUGACUUCUUCUGUUUAAUGUAAAUUUCAACUACUUCAGAGCGCUCGCGUGGCGUGUAUUGGUUCAUGGUAAAAAUCUGCUUAGACUGACGCUUCAAACGCGGUAUGUCAUUAAGCGAUGUGACAUCUCUGUCAAAAGUUAUGGCGUUGCCAGAUGGGUCCGUCGAAUAUGGGCAACCCUGUACACUCAUGGUCCCUCUCUCAAAAGUAAACACUUAACAUUUCAUUAUUACAAACAUAAAAGUAAACAUAAAAACAUUUUAUUUUCAUUAUCAUCUUAAUCCGAAACAUUAAAAUUUAAACAAAACAAAUUAUAUAAUUUUGAAUUCCUAACACUUGCGGACUUUGUGCGCCAUUAAUCAGGCAACCACCAAUAACUUCAAAGACUUCAAAUUUGCCAAAUUUGGCCGCUAACUCAAAUUUUCCCUUUAGAACUCUCUUAAAGGCCGAUACUGGACAUUACCUUUUUAGUCCAGUAAAAAACAAAAACAUUAAGAAUUCUCUUACGUACCAGACUAAUAUCUAAGGACGUUCACAAUUAAUUUAACAUAAAAUAAUUUAAAUUUGUCUUGUUUCUUUUGUUGUAGUUUGUGGUUUUAGUCUCUGUUGCGUAUAUUCUUUUGUAUAGUAAUUUGAAAUCAUAUUUUUCUUUUAAUUUCAGUACAGUUAAUUCUCGUCAAAGAAUCCUUUUUGGCGCUAAUUUUUCAUGACCAUUACAAGCAACCAAUUACGAAUAUCACGGCAAAGUCCACGGAAUAAAUUAGGUCCGGGCCAUAACGUUUACACAGGACAGAUUACAUGCAGUGCGGAACAAGACGUUUCACAAGGGCUCACAUACACAAAGUUUGGCCACUUCCUGAAUGCCGGCUCGUUAUCUUGAUGUGGGACUUGAAUGGGUUCUUCUAGACGUUAUCCCCAAAAAUGGUUGCUGACCGCCUCCAAAUAUAUAUAUGGAGGGGCCAGAAUCUUUUUGUUUGGUGACUCUCCUUGGCGAGAGCUAAACCAAAUACAUAUUGUACAAACAAAACCUUCAACAUAAAAUACCGUACUCACUUCUGUUUUUGUCACAUACCAACAUCAAUAAAAAUCAGUCUCACUAAACACAAUAAACAAUACAACAGACCAAUGCUUUUUAUGUAUUAAUUUGAAAACAAAAAGCUGUCGCACGGUAUAUUUUUUUAUUUUCACGCAACAAAACUUCACCAUUUCCUAAGGAAAUGAUGGAAAUGGUGAUGUGCGUGGCUUCUGAAAGAAAUUCCUCUCCGAAAACUAAGUGAUGGCCGAAAUUAGACAGGAUUAAAAUUGAUGCAGGUCAACAUCCAACGUGCUCAUGCGGUCAGCAUAAGUGGUUAACAUAGGAAUUUGCGGUGAGUGGAUACAGGUAAGUAAUUAUAAAAUUUACUAUUCUAUAAGUAUUCUAAUCUGAAAUUUUCUUUACAGGUAAUAAAUUUUUCAUCAAUGAAAAUACAUUUUGCGUCGUUUGUACGCUUGUGCGUAGGCACAACACUACACAUUGAUUGCUGUCUCAUCAUUCAUACCACAUGUGUAUGUGCGUGUGUGUGCCCGCCAUUGGACUUUACCUGCAUAUGCAUCGACACGCAUUCAUGUCUAAGACGUGCGGUUGGGAUGAGGAAAAUAGGUAAGCAGAUGUUUGUUUAUUUCUUCAAAGAAUACAUUUUAUUUAAUUUAAAACUUUUAUUUCUAUUUCAGCAUACGACCAUGGUGACUUGGUGGAAUACACGACAUCAUCUCCUGAACAACCCAUUAACACAUCAGAGCUAUAAAAUGGACAUCACAUGGAAACUUCUCAACCUGGGUAGGUAGAGCUGGCCCAUUCCAUAUUUCGAAUUGAGGUGCAUAUGCAUAAAUCAGCAAUUCAUAUGUGGACAAGGAAUUUGGAAUGAAAAACAGCUUUUUCAAUUCUGUUACAAACAAACAAUACUCGAGACACUUUAAGGAAUCAAAGGUGUCAUCCAUACCUGACAUGGAACAUAACCACCCUUCAACUACAUCAGCAACAAUUUACGACCAUCUUAAACAAAGGAGAGCACACAUCGCGGUGGAACUUUGAUA